GGAYGAUGAAGAACGCAGCGAAUUGCGAUAAUUGGUGUGAAUUGCAGGACACAUCGAACGCCCAGUUUUCGAACGCACAUUGCGGCCCCGGUUGACCGUCCCGGGGCCUCGCCCGUCUGAGGGUC
RNAcentral lists this ribosomal RNA (125 nucleotides) under Nephilengys livida. Its description in RNAcentral is "partial 5.8S ribosomal RNA". It matches the Rfam family "5.8S ribosomal RNA", at positions 34 to 154 of the family's 154-position model. Rfam says of the family: 5.8S ribosomal RNA (5.8S rRNA) is a component of the large subunit of the eukaryotic ribosome. It is transcribed by RNA polymerase I as part of the 45S precursor that also contains 18S and 28S rRNA. Functionally, it is thought that 5.8S rRNA may be involved in ribosome translocation. Lineage: Eukaryota; Metazoa; Arthropoda; Arachnida; Araneae; Nephilidae. The record is from RNAcentral.